GUGAGGAAUAUUCCGCAAUGGGGGAAACCCUGACGGAGCAAUGCCGCGUGCAGGAUGAAGGCCCUCGGGUCGUAAACUGCUUUUAUAUGAGAAGAAUAUGACGGUAACAUAUGAAUAAGGGACGGCUAACUACGUGCCAGCAGCCGCGGUCAUACGUAGGUCCCAAGCGUUAUCCGGAGUGACUGGGCGUAAAGAGUUGCGUAGGCGGCUCGUUAAGCGUGAAAUGAAAUUUAUCGACUCAACCGGUAAACUAUUUCGCGAACUGACGGGCUCGAGAGUAUGAGAGGUUACUGGAAUUUCUAGUGUAGCAGUGAAAUGCGUAGAUAUUAGAAAGAACACCAACGGCGUAGGCAGGUAACUGGCAUACAUCUGACGCUGAGGCACGAAAGCGUGGGGAGCGAACCGGAUUAGAAACCCCUGUAGUCC
RNAcentral lists this ribosomal RNA (426 nucleotides) under uncultured bacterium. RNAcentral describes it as "partial 16S ribosomal RNA". It matches the Rfam family "Bacterial small subunit ribosomal RNA", at positions 354 to 796 of the family's 1533-position model. The record is from RNAcentral.